Helianthus annuus (common sunflower) is the source of this 298-nucleotide long non-coding RNA. RefSeq lists it as uncharacterized. The transcript is spliced from 2 exons. The record is from RefSeq and is a predicted model, not a curated record. Lineage: Eukaryota; Viridiplantae; Streptophyta; Magnoliopsida; Asterales; Asteraceae.
AAACAAAAGAAAGAAUGAAGAAUACACAACAAGCUUUGAUUUUAUUUAUGGUUUUUGUUCUCAUUUCAUCCGGGAUGAGGUUCGAGACAAUGGCAGUUCGAACUAGUGAUCUACCACGACCCUGUGAUAACGAUUAUCGUUGUACACCAUGGUGCGGAGACUGUGGGUACUGUGGUUGUAUCAAUGGUGAGUGUCUUAGUGAUAACUGCCCUCCUGUGAUAGUAACUCAUAAAGGAUAGUUGUUUUGAAGGAUAAUUGAUGUGAUGUACCAUCUAUAAGACUUUUGUUGAUUAUUAAA